Molecule: ribosomal RNA, 1260 nt
Filed under: Mesocyclops dissimilis
Lineage: Eukaryota; Metazoa; Arthropoda; Copepoda; Cyclopoida; Cyclopidae
Description: SSU rRNA
Rfam family: Eukaryotic small subunit ribosomal RNA
Source: RNAcentral
GCCAUGCAUGGUCUAGUACAAGCCCCAGCAAGGUGAAACCGCGAAUGGCUCAUUAAAUCACACCUAAUGUACUGGACAGUCUCAGUUACUUGGAUAACUGCGGUAAUUCUGGAGCUAAUACAUGCGCACGAGCCCCGACUCACGGAGGGGCGCUUUUAUUAGACUAAAACCAAACGGCUUCGGCCGUCCCACUGGUGAAUCUGAAUAACUUUGAGCGGAUCGCACGGCCUUGUGCCGGCGACGUGUCCUUCCAAGGUGUGCCCUAUCAACUGUCGACUGUGGCAUAGACGCCCACAGUGGUUUUGACGGGUAACGGGGAAUUAGGGUUCGAUUCCGGAGAGGGAGCCUGAGAAACGGCUACCACUUCUAAGGAAGGCAGCAGGCACGCAAAUUACCCACUGGCCGCAGGCCGAGGUAGUGACGAAAAAUAACGAUACCAGACUCAUCCGAGGCCUGGUAAUCGGAAUGAGCACACUUUAAAUCCUUUAGCGAGGAACCAUUGGAGGGCAAGUCUGGUGCCAGCAGCCGCGGUAAUUCCAGCUCCAAUAGCGUAUAUUAAAGUUGUUGCGGUUAAAAAGCUCGUAGUUGGAUCUCGGCGCGCAGGGGGCGGUCCGUUAUUUGACGCGACUGCCCCGUUUGCGCGUGUAUCUUUGGCGGAACUCGCAGGGUGCUCUUCGCCGAGUGUCCUGUCGGGGCCGCCCGUUUUUACUUUGAAAAAAUUAGAGUGCUCCAAGCAGGCUCGACACGCCUGAAUAUCCGUGCAUGGAAUAAUGGAAUAGGACGUCGUUCCUAUUUUGUUGGUUUUAGGGAAUCGACGUAAUGAUUAAUAGGGACAGCCGGGGGCAUUAGUAUUCAGACGACAGAGGUGAAAUUCUUGGACCGUCUGGCGACUCACUGCUGCGAAAGCGUUUGCCAAGUAUGUUUUCAUUAAUCAAGAACGAAAGUUAGAGGUUCGAAGGCGAUCAGAUACCGCCCUAGUUCUAACCAUAAACGAUGCCAGCUAGCGAUCCGCGGGCGUUUUUAUUGUAGGCCCCGCGGGGAGCUUCCGGGAAACCAAAGCUUUUGGGUUCCUGGGAAAGUAUGAUUGCAAAAUUGAAAUUUAAAGAAAUUGACGGAACGGCACCACCAGGCGUGGAACUUGCGGCUUAAUUUGACUCAACACUGGAAAUCUCACCAGGCCCGGACACCGGAAGGAUUGACAGAUUGAGAGCUCUUUCUCGAUUCGGUGGGUGGUGGUGCAUGGCCGUUCUUAGUUGGUGG